CAGUCGCGUCUGCUGGGACUCAGCCUUGCUUCUGCUUGGUGCACUUCUCAGUAGAUGGGCCAGCAUCGAUUUUGGUGGUCAUAAAAUGACUGGAGGAAUGUAGCUUCGAUCUCGUAUUGAAGUGUUAUAGCCUUCGGUAGAUGUGAUGACUGAGAUU
Molecule: ribosomal RNA, 157 nt
Filed under: Glomus sp. (unid)
Lineage: Eukaryota; Fungi; Glomeromycota; Glomeromycetes; Glomerales; Glomeraceae
Source: RNAcentral